AGUGGAACUAUACUUAAUCUUUUAAAUUAAGAAAGUGAAUAUUUUAUCAUGUUUCAUGCAUCAUGACUAUAAUAUAGGAUGUUUGCAUUAGAAUCACGAAUAUGCUACAUUGCAUUAUUAUAUUGUGGUUGAUGAGGAGGGACAUUGCACGACUCACUAGUCCUGUGUACGAAGUCCUGUGGUGCCCAUAAUAGGGCCGGGCAAUAGCUCCGAUUUACGAAGUCCUGUGGUGCCCAUAAUAGGGCCGGGCAAUACGAAGUCCUGUGGUGCCCAUAAUAGGGCCGGGCAUGGAGCUGAGGGAUUUUUGGGUCGGUCCUUCCAUGAUGUGAAAUGUUUGUGCAAUGAUGCAUUCCAUUAUAGCCUGUUUUAAAUAUUUUUUUUAUAUAGUUCUACUCACUGGGCAUCUAGCUCACCCCUCUCCCCUAACCCCAGGUUUGCAGGUACGGGAUUGAUAGAGAAGAAAAGAAGAGAAAAGUCAUAUGUAUGUAAUAGCUAGAGUAUGUGGACAUGACAAAUGAUAAGAAUGUAAUGUAAAGUUUUGAACAGUUAUGUUUAUGUAAUUAUGUUAUUGAGGAUAGAGUUGUGCUUGACCAUAGUAUAUGUUAAUCCCUUGGUAUGUAC
Molecule: long non-coding RNA, 621 nt
Filed under: Manihot esculenta (cassava)
Lineage: Eukaryota; Viridiplantae; Streptophyta; Magnoliopsida; Malpighiales; Euphorbiaceae
Description: long non-coding RNA (MESC_LNC012739)
Source: RNAcentral